UUGAACACUGUAGCAAAUAAUUUAGAUAGAAACUGUGUAAUAUUGUUUACUGAACAAUCUGUGAAUUUACUGAUAAAACAUCUUUAUGCUCACAUUUAUCUUACUUUUCCUUGCUGAAAACACAUAAUACGCCAUUGUUGUCCAACUGGUCUCUGGUUGUUGUCCUUAGACUGUCUCAUGAGAGAAUAGAUCUUCUUGUUAGACUGAGACAAGAGACUAUUCGAUUGUCAGAUAGAUAAUAUUCAUUUGUGGAAUAGUCUGAUGGUACUGUCCUGGAAGUUUCCACUUCUUGAGUGUUAGUUUAUAUGCGAUUCCAGGUUAUAGAGGUGCAGCCUCUAUUUUACAGUGUAAUGCUGUUCUAUAAACUACACGAUAGAAAGUGCGUUUAGAUACACAGACUAUUACGUAUUUGAAUAUUCUUUACCCCUAUUGUUCUCGCUAUUUGAGUUUCUUGUUAAAUAUAAAGUAAAGUUAAUGUGUCAGAAGUAUUUUAACCCUGUUGGUCUAGUAAUAUAAAGUACACCCGCGUUUAAACCAUUCUCUGUUUUGUUUUAGACUAGUUAUUCUAGUCUAUUGAGGUUCCCUGUGUACCUGUAAACACAGGUGGUGGCAGCAAAGUAAAAGACACCCGUUUGGCCAGUUAUUACAUUGGUGGCAGCGGUGGGAUACUCAACAGUUACACGAGUAUCCAGUGAUACGAACCCAUACCUAGAAAUAGUAAUACGAAUAAACAGAGAUGGUGAAAACAAGAUCAACCAGAGACCACAGUGGUGAAGACACCUAUGACAC
RNAcentral lists this long non-coding RNA (789 nucleotides) under Mytilus galloprovincialis (Mediterranean mussel). The record is from RNAcentral. Lineage: Eukaryota; Metazoa; Mollusca; Bivalvia; Mytilida; Mytilidae.